This 459-nucleotide ribosomal RNA is filed under the name uncultured bacterium. RNAcentral describes it as "partial 16S ribosomal RNA". It matches the Rfam family "Bacterial small subunit ribosomal RNA", at positions 29 to 507 of the family's 1533-position model. The record is from RNAcentral.
AGCGAACGCUGGCGGCAGGCCUAACACAUGCAAGUCGAACGAACCUUUCGGGGUUAGUGGCGGACGGGUGAGUAACACGUGGGGACGUGCCUUUAGGUUCGGAAUAACUCAGGGAAACUUGUGCUAAUACCGAAUGUGCCCUUCGGGGGAAAGAUUUAUCGCCUUUCGAGCGGCCAGCGUCUGAUUAGGUAUUUGGUUGAGGUAAUGGCUCACCAAGGCCACGAUCAGUAGCUGGUCUGAGAGGGUGAUCCGCCACAUUGGGACUGAGACAGGGCCCAGACGCCGAGGGGAGGCAGCAGUAGGGAAUCUUCCGGAAUGGGGGAAAGCCGGACGGAGCAACGCCGCGGGAGUGAUGAAGGUCUUCGGAUCGGAAAACUCUGUUAGUAGGGAAGAACAGAUGUGUAAGAAACUGUGCAGAUCUUGACGGUACCGAAUCAGAAAGCCACGGCUAACUACGUG